RNAcentral lists this unclassified non-coding RNA (392 nucleotides) under Hevea brasiliensis (rubber tree). The record is from RNAcentral. Lineage: Eukaryota; Viridiplantae; Streptophyta; Magnoliopsida; Malpighiales; Euphorbiaceae.
GGUGUUGUGAUCUGCAUCAUUUCUUAUUGCCUCAUCUACUACCUUGCUGAAAUAUGCGUGAGGGUUACAUAAGCAUUCAGCCGUCUCCUUUAAGAUAAAGUCAGCGGCUUCAAUAUCCUCAUUGAUGUUUUUGCCAGAAACUUCUUUGUAGUGUUUGUAAAUAGCCUUGAGAUGGGGUUUGCUUCUUGUUGUUAGUAUCCUUAUCACCUCAUCAUCGUCAAUGGGAUUCUUCUUAUCACCAUUCUUAAUAGCUUUAGCGAUCAGUUUUGCUUCAGAUUUUGCAGCGUCUUCACCAACCUUUGGCCCUUCAUACCUAUAGGCACUCACUAGCGCUACCAGGAGCUUACGCUCACUGCCAGUGACAUGGAUGGCAACAUCUUCUUCAAUGGAGU